RNAcentral lists this long non-coding RNA (1335 nucleotides) under Oncorhynchus mykiss (rainbow trout). RNAcentral describes it as "lncRNA (ENSOMYG00000071343.1)". The record is from RNAcentral. Lineage: Eukaryota; Metazoa; Chordata; Actinopteri; Salmoniformes; Salmonidae.
ACUCACUGCACAGCUAGCUUGAAAUGUUGCAGAUGGGGCCAUCCAAUCGGUACUUUUUUGGUGGCUCAAACCGUUGUUAGGUUGUCAAGGAGGGCGAUCAGGUGUGUUGGUACGUUGUCAAGGAGGGCGAUCAGGUGUGUUGGUAGGAGGUCAAGGAGGGCGAUCAGGUGUGUUGGUAGGUUGUCAAGGAGGGCGAUCAGGUGUGUUGGUAGGAGGUCAAGGAGGGCGAUCAGGUGUGUUGGUAGGUUGUCAAGGAGGGCGAUCAGGUGUGUUGGUAGGUUGUCAUGGAGGGCGAUCAGGUGUGUUGGUAGGUUGUCAAGGAGGGCGAUCAGGUGUGUUGGUAGGUUGUCAAGGAGGGCGAUCAGGUGUGUUGGUAGGUUGUCAAGGAGGGCGAUCAGGUUUGUUGGUAGGUUGCCAAGGAGGGCGAUCAGGUGUGUUGGUAGGUUGUCAAGGAGGUGUGUUGGUAGGUUGUCAAGGAGGGCGAUCAGGUGUGUUGGUAGGUUGUCAAGGAGGGCGAUCAGGUGUGUUGGUAGGUUGUCAAGGAGGGCGAUCAGGUGUGUUGGUAGGUUGUCAAGGAGGGCGAUCAGGUGUGUUGGUAGGUUGUCAAGGAGGGCGAUCAGGUGUGUUGAUAGGUUGUCAAGGAGGGCGAUCAGGUGUGUUGGUAGGUUGUCAAGGAGGGCGAUCAGGUGUGUUGGUAGGUUGUCAAGGAGGGCGAUCAGGUGUGUUGGUAGGUUGUCAAGGAGGGCAAUCAGGUGUGUUGGUAAGUUGUCAAGGAGGGCGAUCAGGUGUGUUGGUAGAUUGUCAAGGAGGGCGAUCAGGUGGGUUGGUAGGUUGUCAAGGAGGGCGAUCAGGUGCGUUGGUAGGUUGUCAAGGAGGGCGAUCAGGUGCGUUGGUAGGUUGUCAAGGAGGGCGAUCAGGUGUGUUGGUAGGUUGUCAAGGAGGGCGAUCAGGUGCGUUGGUAGGUUGUCAAGGAGGGCGAUCAGGUGCGUUGGUAGGUUGUCAAGGAGGGCGAUCAGGUGCGUUGGUAGGUUGUCAAGGAGGGCGAUCAGGUGCGUUGGUAGGUUGUCAAGGAGGGUGAUCAGGUGCGUUGGUAGGUUGUCAAGGAGGGCGAUCAGGUGUGUUGGUAGGUUGUCAUGGAGGGCGAUCAGGUGUGUUGGUAGGUUGUCAAGGAGGGCGAUCAGGUGUGUUGGUAGGUUGUCAAGGAGGGCGAUCAGGUGUGUUGGUAGGUUGUCAAGGAGGGCGAUCAGGUGCGUUGGUAGGUUGUCAAGGAGGGCGAUCAGGUGCGUUGGUAGGUUGUCAAGAUGGGCGAUCAGGUGCGUUGGUAGGUUGUCAAGG